This 496-nucleotide ribosomal RNA is filed under the name uncultured bacterium. RNAcentral describes it as "bacterial SSU rRNA". It matches the Rfam family "Bacterial small subunit ribosomal RNA", at positions 19 to 518 of the family's 1533-position model. The record is from RNAcentral.
AUGGCUCAGGAUGAACGCUGGCGGCGUGCCUAACACAUGCAAGUCGAACGGAGUAAUUAAGCGGAAGUUUCGGAUGGAAGCAUAGUACUAGUGGCGGACGGGUGAGUAACGCGUGGGCAACCUGCCCUGUACCGGGGGAUAACACUUAGAAAUAGGUGCUAAUACCGCAUAAGCGCACAGCUUCGCAUGAAGGUGUGUGAAAAACUCCGGUGGUACAGGAUGGACCCGCGUCUGAUUAGCUAGUUGGUGGGGUAGAGGCCUACCGAGGCGACGAUCAGUAGCCGGCCUGAGAGGGUGACCGGCCACAUUGGGACUGAGACACGGCCCAAACUCCUACGGGAGGCAGCAGUGGGGAAUAUUGCACAAUGGGGGAAACCCUGAUGCAAGCGACGCCGCGUGAGUGAAGAAGUAUUUCGGUAUGUAAAGCUCUAUCAGCAGGGAAGAAAAUGACGGUACCCUGCGAGGAAGCUCCGGCAAACUACGUGCCAGCCGCGGC